AACACGCUCCUUAGAUCCACCCUUGGGACAUGAACACAAGACCGGCCUACAUGGAAGCACCUCUGUGUAGGCCUAGUAUUGUAUUGUCCAGCAACUUUGUUGGUUGUACGUCGAGGGUGAUUGAGUCAUUGGCGUGUAACAUAAAUAUACCUGAGUCAUAGGUCCUACGCUGGCCAUGCUGUUAAUUCACUGUAACAUCUAUGCAUGGUCAGUUUAACCUGUGACUUGGACAAU
Molecule: small nucleolar RNA, 234 nt
Organism: Pecten maximus
Lineage: Eukaryota; Metazoa; Mollusca; Bivalvia; Pectinida; Pectinidae
Product: small nucleolar RNA SNORA53
Exons: 1
Source: RefSeq, a predicted model, not a curated record